Molecule: long non-coding RNA, 312 nt
Organism: Vespa crabro (European hornet)
Lineage: Eukaryota; Metazoa; Arthropoda; Insecta; Hymenoptera; Vespidae
Exons: 2
Source: RefSeq, a predicted model, not a curated record
AGCACUAAUACCGUCCUAUCUCCUCACACCAAAGAGUAUCCAAUUUUAGCGGGUUGUCUCUGACAAAACGCCGACGACGACGAGUAGUAUGCGCGUUUGCUCGGCCACUUUGCCCAAGGAGAGAAAUUCGAGACCUCGUCAAUAGCGAAGAAGAGAACCGAACGACGUCCACUUUCCGUCUGCGACGACGAACGAGAUAACCGAGACGAAUCGGAAAAGGAGAAGGAGGAGGAGGGCAAGAGAGAGGGAGGAUAAAGGAGAGGAAAGGAAGGGGAAGGUGGAGGAGGACAAGGAAGAGAAAGGAAAGAAAUG